This 507-nucleotide long non-coding RNA is filed under the name Catharus ustulatus (Swainson's thrush). RNAcentral describes it as "lncRNA (ENSCUSG00005012079.1)". The record is from RNAcentral. Lineage: Eukaryota; Metazoa; Chordata; Aves; Passeriformes; Turdidae.
UUUGUCAGGGCUUCAGUUUCCCCUUGGGCACCCAAAUCCUGAGUUUAAAAUGCUUCUUGUGGUAACCAUGUGGGCAGUGUUCCCCCUCUGUGUUCAACAUCCCUUGAGAGUGGAGAAGGAGACUUACUGUAUCUCUGAUAUGAUACCAGGAAAACAGUGAGUGAUCUUUGUGUUUCUUUCUUUCUUUCUGUUUUUCUUUCAAGGGCAAUGUUAAUGGUGCUCCUGAGUCUUCAGGAGAAGACGCUCUGAACAGGGCUGCAGCUCAAGAAGUUUCAUCUGGCACCGAGAGCUGCGGGAACAGUUCCCCAGAGCGUGAGGAGCCUGAUGCCAUCUGAUCUGCCUCUCCAGGAGGGCUGCCCUGUGUGGCAGGAAGACCCAGAGGGAGGGCCUGUGCCCGUCAGGCAGCUGGCAACCGGGCCGGUCGGAGCAGCAAUUCCAGCCCCAGGUGUCCCUGGAGCAGUGGGAUCUGCCAGUGGCCCCAGGCACUGUCCCCUGAGGAGCUGCUGA